Molecule: ribosomal RNA, 465 nt
Filed under: uncultured bacterium
Lineage: Bacteria
Description: partial 16S ribosomal RNA
Rfam family: Bacterial small subunit ribosomal RNA
Source: RNAcentral
GACGAACGCUGGCGGCGUGCUUAACACAUGCAAGUCGAACGGAAAGGCCCCUUUGGGGGUACUCGAGUGGCGAACGGGUGAGUAACACGUGAGUAACCUGCCCUUGACUUCGGGAUAACUUCAGGAAACUGGGGCUAAUACCGGAUAGGAAUCCUUGCUGCAUGGUGGGGGUUGGAAAGCUUCGGCGGUUUUGGAUGGACUCGCGGCUUAUCAGCUUGUUGGUGGGGUAGUGGCUUACCAAGGCUUUGGCGGGUAGCCGGCCUGUGGGGGUGACCGGCCACAUUGGGUCUUAGAGGCGGCCCAGACGCCUACUGGAGGCAGCAGUGGGGAAUAUUGCACCAUGGGCGGCAGCCUGAUGCAGCAACGCCGCGUGCGGGAUGACGGCUUUCGGGUUGUAGACCACUUUCAGCAGGGGCGAAGCUUGUGGUGACGGUACCUGCAGAAGAAGCACCGGCUAACUACGUG